GAAAUGCGAUACGUAGUGUGAAUUGCAGAAUUCAGUGAAUCAUCGAAUCUUUGAACGCACAUUGCGCCCUUUGGUAUUCCAAAGGGCAUGCCUGUUCGAGCGUCAUUUGUACCCUCAAGCUUUGCUUGGUGUUGGGCGUUUUUUGUCUUUGGCUCGCCCAAAGACUCGCCUUAAAACGAUUGACAGCCGGCCUACUGGUUUCGCAGCGCAGCACAUUUUUGCGCUUGCAAUCAGCAAAAGAGGACGGCAAUCCAUCAAGACUCCUUCUCACGUUUGACCUCGGAUCAGGUAGGGAUACCCGCUGAACUUAAGC
RNAcentral lists this unclassified non-coding RNA (313 nucleotides) under plant metagenome. RNAcentral describes it as "partial contains 5.8S ribosomal RNA, internal transcribed spacer 2, and large subunit ribosomal RNA". The stretch from base 1 to 105 matches the Rfam family "5.8S ribosomal RNA", at positions 50 to 154 of the family's 154-position model. The record is from RNAcentral.